CAGCAGUGAGGAAGGCGGGUACGUUAAUAGCGUGCUCGUUUGACGUUAGCUGCAGAAGAAGCACCGGCUAACUCCGUGCCAGCAGCCGCGGUAAUACGGAGGGUGCGAGCGUUAAUCGGAAUUACUGGGCGUAAAGCGCAUGCAGGUGGUUUGUUAAGUCAGAUGUGAAAGCCCGGGGCUCAACCUCGGAAUUGCAUUUGAAAACUGGCAGACUAGAGUACUGUAGAGGGGGUAGAAUUUCAGGUGUAGCGGUGAAAAUGCGUAGAGAUCUGAAGGAAUACCGGUGGCGAAGGCGGCCCCCUGGACAGAUACUGACACUCAGAUGCGAAAAGCGUGGGGAGCAAACAGGAUUAGAUACCCUGGUAG
This 366-nucleotide ribosomal RNA is filed under the name uncultured bacterium. RNAcentral's name for it is "bacterial SSU rRNA". It matches the Rfam family "Bacterial small subunit ribosomal RNA", at positions 434 to 793 of the family's 1533-position model. The record is from RNAcentral.